Molecule: ribosomal RNA, 548 nt
Filed under: uncultured marine eukaryote
Lineage: Eukaryota
Description: bacterial SSU rRNA
Rfam family: Eukaryotic small subunit ribosomal RNA
Source: RNAcentral
UUGCAGUUAAAAAGCUCGUAGUUGGAUCUCAGGGUGAGCUCAGUUGGUCGGCCUAAUAGGUCAGAACUGGCUGGCUCUCCCUUGUUACUGAAUCCCUUCGUUGGUUUACUCCAUCGUUGUGGACUUCAGAUCGUUUACCUUGAAUAAAUUAGAGUGUUCAAAGCGGGCGUUUGCUUGAAUACAUUAGCAUGGAAUAAUGGAAUAGGACCCUGGUUCUAUUUUGUUGGUUUUGAGGACCAGAGUAAUGAUUAAUAGGGAUAGUUGGAGGCAUUCAUAUUUAAUUGUCAGAGGUGAAAUUCUUGGAUUUAUGAAAGAUGAACUUCUGCGAAAGCAUUUGCCAAGGAUGUUUUCAUUAAUCAAGAACGAAAGUUAGGGGAUCGAAGACGAUCAGAUACCGUCGUAGUCUUAACCAUAAACUAUGCCGACUAGGGAUUGGGAGUGGUUUGUUCAUUGACCCUCUCAGCACCUUACGAGAAAUCAAAGUUUUUGGGUUCCGGGGGGAGUAUGGUCGCAAGGCUGAAACUUAAAGGAAUUGACGGAGGGGCACC